CUCCCUCCCUCCUCAUCCACAGAGAUGGCUCUGCCCUCCUCCACGGCCGACACGAUGGUGGAGAAGUUGUCGUCAGAGAGCACCAUCUCAGCGGCUGACUUGGCAACAGCCGUGCCGGACCCCAUGGCGAUGCCAAUCUCUGCUUUCUUCAGGGCUGGGGCAUCGUUGACGCCAUCGCCCGUCUGCACGAAGUCAUGAUUAAAGCGUUGCGAGGGCAGGGUCCGGGCAGGGAGGAGGAGGCUGGGGACUCACCAUGGCGGUGAUCUCACUGAAGGACUGCAGGUACUCAACGAUGCGGGACUUGUGCGCCGGCUCAACGCGGGCGAAGCAGCGAGCCUCGCGACACGCCUGCCGCUGUGCCUCUGGGGACAGCUCAUCGAACUCCCGGCCCGUGUAGGCC
Molecule: long non-coding RNA, 400 nt
Filed under: Gallus gallus (chicken)
Lineage: Eukaryota; Metazoa; Chordata; Aves; Galliformes; Phasianidae
Description: long non-coding RNA NONGGAT003431
Source: RNAcentral